RNAcentral lists this ribosomal RNA (253 nucleotides) under uncultured bacterium. RNAcentral describes it as "partial 16S ribosomal RNA". It matches the Rfam family "Bacterial small subunit ribosomal RNA", at positions 524 to 776 of the family's 1533-position model. The record is from RNAcentral.
UACGGAGGGGACUAGCGUUGUUCGGAAUUACUGGGCGUAAAGCGCACGUAGGCGGAUUGUUAAGUCAGGGGUGAAAUCCCGAGGCUCAACCUCGGAACUGCCUUUGAUACUGGCAAUCUCGAGUCCGGAAGAGGUGAGUGGAAUUCCUAGUGUAGAGGUGAAAUUCGUAGAUAUUAGGAAGAACACCAGUGGCGAAGGCGGCUCACUGGUCCGGUACUGACGCUGAGGUGCGAAAGCGUGGGGAGCAAACGGG